UUUAUUAAGAGUUUGAUCCUGGCUCAGGAUGAACGCUGGCGGCGUGCUUAACACAUGCAAGUCGAGCGAACAAAGCGAUGUGAAGCCUUCGGGUGGAUCAUCGCGGCGUGAGCGGCGGACGGGUGAGUAACACGUGGGUAACCUGCCCUGUACACUGGGAUAACGCACCGAAAGGUGUGCUAAUACCGGAUAAAGUGAACCUUUCGCAUGGAAGGAUCACCAAAGCUCCGGCGGUACAGGAUGGACCCGCGUCCCAUUAGCUAGUUGGUGAGGUAACGGCUCACCAAGGCGACGAUGGGUAGCCGACCUGAGAGGGUGAUCGGCCACACUGGAACUGAGACACGGUCCAGACUCCUACGGGAGGCAGCAGUGGGGAAUAUUGCACAAUGGGCGAAAGCCUGAUGCAGCAACGCCGCGUGAGCGAUGAAGGCCUUCGGGUCGUAAAGCUCUGUCCUAAGGGAAGAUAAUGACGGUACCUUAGGAGGAAGCCCCGGCUAACUACGUGCCAGCAGCCGCGGUAAUACGUAGGGGGCAAGCGUUAUCCGGAAUCACUGGGCGUAAAGGGUGCGUAGGCGGCUGAUAAAGUCCGAGGUGAAAGGCUACGGCUUAACCGUAGUAAGCCUUGGAAACUUAUCAGCUUGAGUACAGGAGAGGAAAGUGGAAUUCCUAGUGUAGCGGUGAAAUGCGUAGAUAUUAGGAGGAACACCAGUGGCGAAGGCGACUUUCUGGACUGUUACUGACGCUGAGGCACGAAAGCGUGGGGAGCGAACAGGAUUAGAUACCCUGGUAGUCCACGCCGUAAACGAUGAGUGCUAGGUGUCGGGGGUCGAACCUCGGUGCCGCAGCUAACGCAUUAAGCACUCCGCCUGGGGAGUACGUUCGCAAGAAUAAAACUCAAAGGAAUUGACGGGGACCCGCACAAGCAGCGGAGCAUGUGGUUUAAUUCGAAGCAACGCGAAGAACCUUACCUGGACUUGACAUCCCUUUGACCGCUUCUUAACCGAAGCUUUCCCUUCGGGGACAAAGGUGACAGGUGGUGCAUGGUUGUCGUCAGCUCGUGUCGUGAGAUGUUGGGUUAAGUCCCGCAACGAGCGCAACCCCUGUCUUUAGUUGCCAGCAUUAAGUUGGGCACUCUAGAGAGACUGCCGAGGAUAACUCGGAGGAAGGUGGGGAUGACGUCAAAUCAUCAUGCCCCUUAUGUUCAGGGCUACACACGUGCUACAAUGGGCGGUACAACGGGCAGCAAGCUCGCGAGAGCAAGCCAAUCCCUUAAAGCCGUUCUCAGUUCGGAUUGUAGGCUGAAACUCGCCUACAUGAAGCUGGAGUUGCUAGUAAUCGCGGAUCAGAAUGCCGCGGUGAAUGCGUUCCCGGGUCUUGUACACACCGCCCGUCACACCAUGGAAGUUGGGGGCGCCCGAAGUCAGUUAUCCAACCGCAAGGGGGAGGCUGCCGAAGGUGAAAUCAAUGACUGGGGUGAAGUCGUAACAAGGUAGCCGUAUCGGAAGGUGCGGCUGGAUCACCUCCUUU
Molecule: ribosomal RNA, 1527 nt
Rfam family: Bacterial small subunit ribosomal RNA
Source: Rfam